This 444-nucleotide long non-coding RNA is filed under the name Mytilus galloprovincialis (Mediterranean mussel). Lineage: Eukaryota; Metazoa; Mollusca; Bivalvia; Mytilida; Mytilidae. The record is from RNAcentral.
CGCCAUCUGUUGUCAAUGAAACUGUAGACACGUGAUACCGGCGAAAUUUGUUCAACUUCCUUUUUCACUUUUCUGCCACAUGGUUGCUACCCUCUUAGCCAUUUUCUCACAAUUUUCAUCAGAAAUGGCUGCCAACAACGAAAGAUCUUUCAUCAUGGUUAAACCUGAUGGUGUUCAAAGAGGGUUGACUGGCGAAAUCAUCAAAAGAUUUAACAAUAGAGGAUAUAAACUGGUUGCAUGUAAAUUAGUUCAGGUGAUAUAUUUUCCCAAAAUGUCAAAUGCAUUAAUUAUAAAAAAAAUAUAUUGUGUACAGAGGUGAGUUCAAUGUCAGCUCUCGGACUACAUGAACACACUAACAUAUUACAGUUUAACGGUUUAAUCCGUGGGAUGACAAAUACAUGUAUAAAUAUUUUUAUACAAGACAACUUGAAGCCUUUCUGCGCA